CUAACGUCCGUCGUGAAGAGGGAAACAACCCAGACCGCCAGCUAAGGUCCCAAAGUCAUGGUUAAGUGGGAAACGAUGUGGGAAGGCCCAGACAGCCAGGAUGUUGGCUUAGAAGCAGCCAUCAUUUAAAGAAAGCGUAAUAGCUCACUGGUCGAGUCGGCCUGCGCGGAAGAUGUAACGGGGCUAAACCAUGCACCGAAGCUGCGGCAGCGACACUAUGUGUUGUUGGGUAGGGGAGCGUUCUGUAAGCCUGUGAAGGUGUACUGUGAGGUAUGCUGGAGGUAUCAGAAGUGCGAAUGCUGACAUAAGUAACGAUAAAGCGGGUGAAAAGCCCGCUCGCCGGAAGACCAAGGGUUCCUGUCCAACGUUAAUCGGGGCAGGGUGAGUCGACCCCUAAGGCGAGGCCGAAAGGCGUAGUCGAUGGGAAACAGGUUAAUAUUCCUGUACUUGGUGUUACUGCGAAGGGGGGACGGAGAAGGCUAUGUUGGCCGGGCGACGGUUGUCCCGGUUUAAGCGUGUAGGCUGAUUUUCCAGGCAAAUCCGGAAAAUCAAGGCUGAGGCGUGAUGACGAGGCACUACGGUGCUGAAGCAACAAAUGCCCUGCUUCCAGGAAAAGCCUCUAAGCAUCAGGUAACAUCAAAUCGUACCCCAAACCGACACAGGUGGUCAGGUAGAGAAUACCAAGGCGCUUGAGAGAACUCGGGUGAAGGAACUAGGCAAAAUGGUGCCGUAACUUCGGGAGAAGGCACGCUGAUAUGUAGGUGAAGCGACUUGCUCGUGGAGCUGAAAUCAGUCGAAGAUACCAGCUGGCUGCAACUGUUUAUUAAAAACACAGCACUGUGCAAACACGAAAGUGGACGUAUACGGUGUGACGCCUGCCCGGUGCCGGAAGGUUAAUUGAUGGGGUUAGCGGUAACGCGAAGCUCUUGAUCGAAGCCCCGGUAAACGGCGGCCGUAACUAUAACGGUCCUAAGGUAGCGAAAUUCCUUGUCGGGUAAGUUCCGACCUGCACGAAUGGCGUAAUGAUGGCCAGGCUGUCUCCACCCGAGACUCAGUGAAAUUGAACUCGCUGUGAAGAUGCAGUGUACCCGCGGCAAGACGGAAAGACCCCGUGAACCUUUACUAUAGCUUGACACUGAACAUUGAGCCUUGAUGUGUAGGAUAGGUGGGAGGCUUUGAAGUGUGGACGCCAGUCUGCAUGGAGCCGACCUUGAAAUACCACCCUUUA
Molecule: ribosomal RNA, 1228 nt
Filed under: Escherichia coli
Lineage: Bacteria; Pseudomonadati; Pseudomonadota; Gammaproteobacteria; Enterobacterales; Enterobacteriaceae
Description: partial 23S ribosomal RNA
Rfam family: Bacterial large subunit ribosomal RNA
Source: RNAcentral